GAUGAAGGACGUGGUAAGCUGCGAUAAGCCAUGGUUAGCCGCAAACAGGCGUUAACCCAUGGAUCUCCGAAUGGGGCAACCCUCCCGUUUACGGGAACUGCCGGAUGAAUUCAUAGUCCGUCAGAGCGAAACGAGGUGAAGUGAAACAUCUCAGUAACCUCAGGAAAAGAAAACACAGUGAUUCCGUCAGUAGUGGCGAGCGAACGCGGAUUAGCCCAAACCGAAUUGAUUUAUCAAUCCGGGGUUGCGGGACCUUAAUGUGUAACAAAUGCAACUAGCUCAAUGAUCUGGAAAGAUCAGCCAAAGACCGUGAUAGCCGGGUGAGUCGUGUGGCAAAUGUUGCUAGAGGUAUCCCAAGUAGUGCGGUGCACGUGAAACUCCGCGCGAAUCUGUCCAGACCACUGGAUAAGGCUAAAUACUCCUUAGCGACCGAUAGUGAACUAGUACCGCGAGGGAAAGGCGAAAAGAACCCCUGCUAGGGGAGUGAAAUAGAUCCUGCAACCCGCUGCCUACAAUGUGUGGGAGCUUCGUAAGAAGUGACCGCCUGCCUUUUGCAUAAUGAGUCUGCGAGUUAUUGUCAGUGGCCAGCAUUAGCCUCCAUGAGGUGGAUGCGAAGCGAAAGCGAGUACGAAAUGUGCGUCCAGUCGCUGGCAAUAGACCCGAAGCGGAGGUGAUCUACUCUUGAGCAGGUUGAAACCAAGGUAACACUUGGUGAAGGACCGAACUCGUGGAUGUUGAAAAAUCCUGAGAUGACUUGAGAGUAGGAGCGAAAGACUAAUCAAACCCCGUGAUAGCUGGUUCUCUCCGAAAUCGCUUGAGGGCGAGCGUUGGGAAAGUAAACCGUGGAGGUAGAGCACUGGAUGGCUUAGGGUCCCUACCGGGAUGCCAAAACCAAUCAAACUCCGAAUUCCACGGGCUCCAUUACCCCAGCAUUCAGACGGCGAGGGAUAAGCUUCGUCGUCGAGAGGGCAACAGCCCAGAUCUGCAGCUAAGGUGCCUAAACAUGGUUAAGUGGAAAGGAUGUGACGUUACAUAGACAGUGAGGAUGUUGGCUUAGAGGCAGCCACCAUUUAAACAGUGCGUAACAGCUGACUCAUCGAGUGAUGUCGCGCCGAAAAUGAUUGGCGAUUAAAUCAUGUACCGAAGCUCAGAAAACCAACACGAUUCGUCGAGUUGGUUUGGUAGGAGAGCGUAACCCGUGCUGCGAAGGUAAUCCGGAAGGAAAACUGGAGCGCUGGUUAGUGAGAAUGCAGACACGAGUAGCGAUAAACCAGAUGAGAAUUCUGGUCGCCGUAAACCCAAGGUUUCCUGGGCCAGGUUCGUCCUCCCAGGGUUAGUCGGGAGCUAAGAUGAGGUCGUAAGACGUAAUCGAUGCACAGCCGGUCAACAUUCCGGCACCGAACCGGGUCAAACCGAUGAUGACGCAUGGUGGAACGCAGCAAGGUCAUUGAAAGACCUAGCUUAGGAGCAAUCCGAAGCAAGCUGCCGGAAGCUGUGCCUAGAAAAGUCGUCGGCCCUUUCCCGGUCGCCCGUACCGUAAACCGACACAGGUGGGUGGGUGUAAGUGCACCAAGGCGCGCGAGAGAGCCCUCUCUAAGGAACUCGGCACAUUAGCCCCGUAACUUCGGGAGAAGGGGUGCUCACUUCGGUGAGCCACAGUAAAUUGCGUUUAGCGACUGUUUAACAAAAACACAGCACUCUGCCACGUCAUUAAGACAACGUAUAGGGUGUGACAAGUGACCAAUGCGGGAAGAUCAAGGCAAGGGGUUAGCCGUAAGGCGAAGCUCUGAACCUAAGUCCCCGUGAAUGUCGGCCGUAACUAUAACGGUCCUAAGGUAGCGAAAUUCCUUGUCGGGUAAGUUCCGACCUGCACGAAUCUUGUAACGACUGAACGACUGUCUCGGAGAGGUUCUC
This 1914-nucleotide ribosomal RNA is filed under the name freshwater metagenome. RNAcentral describes it as "bacterial LSU rRNA". It matches the Rfam family "Bacterial large subunit ribosomal RNA", at positions 48 to 2034 of the family's 2925-position model. The record is from RNAcentral.